GACGAACGCUGGCGGCGUGCUUAACACAUGCAAGUCGAACGGGAUUUAGUAAACAGAAGCCUCGGUGGAAGAUUACUAAUGAGGGUGGCGAACGGGUGAGUAACGCGUGAGCAACCUGCCUAUGACAGUGGGAUAGCCUCGGGAAACCGGGAUUAAUACCGCAUAAAAUCGUAGAAACACAUGUUUUAACGGUCAAAGAUUUAUCGGUCAUAGAUGGGCUCGCGUCUGAUUAGCUAGUUGGUGAGAUAACAGCCCACCAAGGCGACGAUCAGUAGCCGGUCUGAGAGGAUGAACGGCCACAUUGGAACUGAGACACGGUCCAAACUCCUACGGGAGGCAGCAGUGGGGAAUAUUGCACAAUGGGGGAAACCCUGAUGCAGCGACGCCGCGUGAACGAAGAAGGUAUUCGUAUCGUAAAGUUCUGUCCUAUGGGAAGAUAAUGACAGUACCAUAGAAGAAAGCUCCGGCUAAAUACGUG
Molecule: ribosomal RNA, 478 nt
Filed under: uncultured bacterium
Lineage: Bacteria
Description: partial 16S ribosomal RNA
Rfam family: Bacterial small subunit ribosomal RNA
Source: RNAcentral